UACGUAGGGGGCAAGCGUUGUCCGGAUUUAUUGGGCGUAAAGAGCGUGUAGGCGGCCAGGUAGGUCUGCUGUGAAAACUCGAGGCUUAACCUCGAGAUGUCGGCGGAAACCAUCUGGCUAGAGUCCGGAAGAGGAGAGUGGAAUUCCUGGUGUAGCGGUGAAAUGCGCAGAUAUCAGGAAGAACACCCGUGGCGAAAGCGGCUCUCUGGAACGGUACUGACGCUGAGACGCGAAAGCGUGGGGAGCGAACAGG
RNAcentral lists this ribosomal RNA (253 nucleotides) under uncultured bacterium. RNAcentral describes it as "partial 16S ribosomal RNA". It matches the Rfam family "Bacterial small subunit ribosomal RNA", at positions 524 to 776 of the family's 1533-position model. The record is from RNAcentral.